AUUGAACGCUGGCGGCAUGCUUUACACAUGCAAGUCGAACGGUAACAGGUCUUCGGAUGCUGACGAGUGGCGAACGGGUGAGUAAUGUAUCGGAACGUGCCCAGUAGUGGGGGAUAACUACUCGAAAGAGUGGCUAAUACCGCAUGAGAACUGAGGUUGAAAGCGGGGGACCUUCGGGCCUCGCGCUACUGGAGCGGCCGAUAUCAGAUUAGGUAGUUGGUGGGGUAAUGGCCCACCAAGGCGACGAUCCUUAGCUGGUCUGAGAGGAUGAUCAGCCACACUGGGACUGAGACACGGCCCAGACUCCUACGGGAGGCAGCAGUGGGGAAUAUUGGACAAUGGGCGAAAGCCUGAUCCAGCAAUGCCGCGUGAGUGAUGAAGGCCUUAGGGUUGUAAAGCUCUUUUACCCGGGAUGAUAAUGACAGUACCGGGAGAAUAAGCUCCGGCUAACUCCGUGCCAGCAGCCGCGGUAAUGUAGUCGUG
RNAcentral lists this ribosomal RNA (483 nucleotides) under uncultured bacterium. RNAcentral's name for it is "bacterial SSU rRNA". It matches the Rfam family "Bacterial small subunit ribosomal RNA", at positions 30 to 529 of the family's 1533-position model. The record is from RNAcentral.